AGGAAGUAGAGGCCGAGGCAAGAAUAUGAUGUCUGGAUAAGGAGCGGUUUCUGGCAGGCUUCUAGGAUGGCAGCACUUUAAGGUACGGGAGUACAUGAAUGAAUUGAAUUGCAUAUUGAAAUGGGACGAGGAAUGGUUGAUAUCAUAUAUGUAAAGAGUUGGAAGUAAUCACAUGAGGCGUUUUUUGGUUGUUUGAUUGUGGAGUUGUAGGAACUCCAAAGUUAAACGUGCUUGGUUCGGGCAAUUUUCA
RNAcentral lists this long non-coding RNA (250 nucleotides) under Ricinus communis (castor bean). Its description in RNAcentral is "long non-coding RNA (RCOM_LNC001584)". Lineage: Eukaryota; Viridiplantae; Streptophyta; Magnoliopsida; Malpighiales; Euphorbiaceae. The record is from RNAcentral.